Molecule: unclassified non-coding RNA, 149 nt
Filed under: soil metagenome
Description: partial internal transcribed spacer 1
Source: RNAcentral
CCGAGUUUACAACUCCCAAACCCCUGUGAACAUACCUAUACUGUUGCCUCGGCGGAUCAGCCCGCUCCCCGGUAAAAAGGGACGGCCCGCCCGAGGACCCCUAAACUCUGUUUUAUAGUGAACUUCUGAGUAAAACAACAAAUAAAUCA